AUUUCCACUUUCAGAUAUUGUUGGAAACAAUCAUAACAACUGCGAUGAUGACAAGACUGAAUAAUAGGAAAGAAUUCUACUGGUAGUUCGGCCAAACAUAACGGACAUUCCAUCAAUCCAUUUUCGUUACUCUGAAAUAAAUGCAUACCUUUCCUGCAGAAGAAAGCACAGAACCUUUGCUGGAAGCGCGCUGCAGAUCUAUGUUGUGAAAUUGGAAAUGACUCGACCCAUUGCUUACUCUGGCCUCUCCUUUCUCAACGUCCGCUCUGCCGCUUGCUUGAUCUUUAGCUAUGAAAAUGUUUUCUAUUUUAAAAAAUUUUGUUCUCGCUAUUAUAUAUAUUGUAAUACAACUUGAUAAAAUUUGAAAAAUA
This is a long non-coding RNA of Solenopsis invicta (red fire ant), 371 nucleotides long. RefSeq lists it as uncharacterized. The transcript is spliced from 2 exons. Lineage: Eukaryota; Metazoa; Arthropoda; Insecta; Hymenoptera; Formicidae. The record is from RefSeq and is a predicted model, not a curated record.